AGCCCAUUGUGUGGGCACUUCUUGAUCAUUAAUUUGAAACAUUCCCACACCUCGUACAAGGAUUCACCUUUUUAUUGCUUAAAAUUGGUGAUUUCUCGCCUAAGCU
This is a non-coding RNA of Gossypium hirsutum (cotton), 106 nucleotides long. The record is from Rfam. Lineage: Eukaryota; Viridiplantae; Streptophyta; Magnoliopsida; Malvales; Malvaceae.